AAAUUUCAUUGAAACUAAACUUAUAUAUCGUCAUGAUAUGGAUGACAGUUUCUACCUUGUGCCGUAAACGCAAGACUAUAAGUAAAAAUUGUACGGUU
Molecule: non-coding RNA, 98 nt
Filed under: Enterococcus hermanniensis
Lineage: Bacteria; Bacillati; Bacillota; Bacilli; Lactobacillales; Enterococcaceae
Description: Guanine sequence
Rfam family: Purine riboswitch aptamer
About the family: Riboswitches are metabolite binding domains within certain messenger RNAs that serve as precision sensors for their corresponding targets. Allosteric rearrangement of mRNA structure is mediated by ligand binding, and this results in modulation of gene expression.
Source: Rfam by way of RNAcentral